Molecule: long non-coding RNA, 248 nt
Filed under: Homo sapiens (human)
Lineage: Eukaryota; Metazoa; Chordata; Mammalia; Primates; Hominidae
Description: HSALNT0117973
Source: RNAcentral
GGCAGAACCACUUGUUACAACCACAGUCUGCUGAUGAACUUGAGACUCAGCGACGUUAGUGGUCUGUCCAAGGUUAACCAGUAGCAGAACCAAGAUUCAAGGUCACCUGCCUCCCAAGGCCAAGACUCUGUACUUCCCCAUGGCCCCUCCCAUUUAUGAAAGCAUGAACUGCAUUGAGCUGUAUCGUCAUUGUCACUGCCACCAGCACCGUGACCAUCACACUGGCUUUCAGUAUCCGUAAAUGUUUG